GUGCUGACUUCUGCAGUACACAGACUAAAGCUGGAGCAGCAUGGAGAUCAGCAUGGCCCUUGUGCAAGAAUGAGACGGAGAUUCAUGACGAAGUCCGUAUUUUU
Molecule: non-coding RNA, 104 nt
Organism: Peromyscus maniculatus bairdii (prairie deer mouse)
Lineage: Eukaryota; Metazoa; Chordata; Mammalia; Rodentia; Cricetidae
Source: RefSeq, a predicted model, not a curated record